This 495-nucleotide ribosomal RNA is filed under the name uncultured bacterium. RNAcentral describes it as "partial 16S ribosomal RNA". It matches the Rfam family "Bacterial small subunit ribosomal RNA", at positions 28 to 507 of the family's 1533-position model. The record is from RNAcentral.
GACGAACGCUGGCGGCGUGCCUAAUACAUGCAAGUAGAACGCUGAAGGAGGAGCUUGCUUCUCUGGAUGAGUUGCGAACGGGUGAGUAACGCGUAGGUAACCUGCCUGGUAGCGGGGGAUAACUAUUGGAAACGAUAGCUAAUACCGCAUAAGAGUAGAUGUUGCAUGACAUUUGCUUAAAAGGUGCAAUUGCAUCACUACCAGAUGGACCUGCGUUGUAUUAGCUAGUUGGUGAGGUAACGGCUCACCAAGGCAACGAUACAUAGCCGACCUGAGAGGGUGAUCGGCCACACUGGGACUGAGACACGGCCCAGACUCCUACGGGAGGAAGCAGUAGGGAAUCUUCGGCAAUGGACGGAAGUCUGACCGAGCAACGCCGCGGGAGUGAAGAAGGUUGUCGGAUCGUAAAGCUCUGUUGUAAGAGAAGAACGAGUGUGAGAGUGGAAAGUUCACACUGUGACGGUAUCUUACCAGAAAGGGACGGCUAACUACGUG